AGUCGGUUCGCAGCGGGCGAUGAGGCCUUGCGGAAGGUAGCUCGGAGCUUGCUCUGAGUGUUAUAGACGCAGGUGCUGGGUCCGCUGCGGACCGAGGAGAGAGAGUAUCGUUGCAGCGCAUGCCGCAAGGCUAGCUACCCGCUGUCUGGCUCGCUUCACGAACUGAGGACUGCACGCAGUGCUCGGAUUGGCGGAGUGGUCAGGCGGUGGAGUGGUAUAAAUGCGCUUAGGACGCUGGCGUCCAAAUGGCCGUGCGCGACCCGUCUUGAAACACGG
This 276-nucleotide ribosomal RNA is filed under the name Leucetta microraphis. RNAcentral describes it as "partial large subunit ribosomal RNA". Lineage: Eukaryota; Metazoa; Porifera; Calcarea; Clathrinida; Leucettidae. The record is from RNAcentral.